This 608-nucleotide ribosomal RNA is filed under the name uncultured bacterium. Its description in RNAcentral is "bacterial SSU rRNA". It matches the Rfam family "Bacterial small subunit ribosomal RNA", at positions 338 to 951 of the family's 1533-position model. The record is from RNAcentral.
CCUACGGGAGGCAGCAGUAGGGAAUAUUGGGCAAUGGAGGCAACUCUGACCCGGCCAUGCCGCGUGCAGGAUGAAGGCGUUAUGCGUUGUAAACUGCUUUUAUAUAGGAAGAAAUAGACCUUGCGAGGUAAGUUGACGGUACUAUAUGAAUAAGCACCGGCUAACUCCGUGCCAGCAGCCGCGGUAAUACGGAGGGUGCAAGCGUUGUCCGGAUUUAUUGGGUUUAAAGGGUGCGUAGGCGGUUUAUUAAGUCAGUGGUGAAAGACGGUCGCUCAACGAUUGCAGUGCCAUUGAUACUGGUAGACUUGAGUGUGAUUGAGGUAGCUGGAAUGGAUAGUGUAGCGGUGAAAUGCAUAGAUAUUAUCCAGAACACCAAUUGCGUAGGCAAGUUACUAAGUCACAACUGACGCUGAGGCACGAAAGUGUGGGUAUCAAACAGGAUUAGAUACCCUGGUAGUCCACACUGUAAACGAUGAUAACUAACUGUUGGCUUUUGGGUCAGUGGUACAGAGAAAUCGUUAAGUUAUCCACCUGGGGAGUACGCCGGCAACGGUGAAACUCAAAGGAAUUGACGGNNGAGAGNGCGACGACGACGACGAGGGAGGAGG